UAAAAUAAUCUAAGUGAUAAUACCCGAAAGCAUAAGAUCUAAGAAUAGUAUUAAGUUUUAGAUUAAAAUUAAGGUGCUGUGGCAUCAGCUCACAAUAAAUAAUAUCUUAGUGGUGAAAUGCCUACAAUUAUGCUGAUAGCUGGAUAAUUAUUAAAUAUAUCUAGUUUAUACUAAAUUUAUGAGGUGAUAAGAUUUCAUAAUAAGAAUUAAAUGUAUGUUUUAAGUCUACUAUUAAUUAACCCUUAACAGUAUUUUACUGUAAGUAAAAUAGUUUUACGUAUUAAAUAUUCUUUAGUAAUAAUUUAUUUAUCUAAACUAAUAGUAAGCUUAAUAAUGUAUAAAUUAGUAUAUUAUUAUAAAUUUAAGUAAAUAAACUCGGCAAAUAUUAUAUACGACUGUUUAACAAAAACAUAGCCGGUAGAUUAUUAUAUUAUCGGUGUAGCCUGCCCGGUGAGUUUUUAACGGCCGCAGUACUAUGACUGUGCAAAGGUAGCAUAAUCAUUUGACUUUUAAUUGGAGUCUGGUAUGAAAGGAAAAACGUAUAUAAGCUGUAUCUAGAUAUAAAUUUAUUAAAUUUACUUAUGGGGUGAAAAUACCCUAAUAAAAAAAAUAGACGAGAAGACCCUUAGAAUUUUAAGAAAAACCAUAAUCAAUAUGGAAUGAUUUUUGUUGGGGCAACAUUUUUUCAUAUAAAUAAAAAAAUCAAUAUUACAAUAUAACGAAAAAGUAUAAUAAAGAAAAAAUUACCUUAGGGAUAACAGCAUAAUUUUAAAUAAAGAUUGUGACCUCGAUGUUGGACUAGGAACUAUUAAGGCUAGUCGUUUUUAAUACAAUAAGGUUCUGGUUCGAACUUUUGCUUCCUA
Molecule: ribosomal RNA, 863 nt
Filed under: Montenegrina hiltrudae maasseni
Lineage: Eukaryota; Metazoa; Mollusca; Gastropoda; Stylommatophora; Clausiliidae
Description: partial 16S ribosomal RNA
Source: RNAcentral